RNAcentral lists this ribosomal RNA (457 nucleotides) under Streptococcus mitis. RNAcentral describes it as "bacterial SSU rRNA". It matches the Rfam family "Bacterial small subunit ribosomal RNA", at positions 28 to 471 of the family's 1533-position model. The record is from RNAcentral. Lineage: Bacteria; Bacillati; Bacillota; Bacilli; Lactobacillales; Streptococcaceae.
GACGAACGCUGGCGGCGUGCCUAAUACAUGCAAGUAGAACGCUGAAGGAGGAGCUUGCUUCUCCGGAUGAGUUGCGAACGGGUGAGUAACGCGUAGGUAACCUGCCUGGUAGCGGGGGAUAACUAUUGGAAACGAUAGCUAAUACCGCAUAAUAGCAGUUAUUGCAUGAUAACUGUUUGAAAGGUGCAAUUGCACCACUACCAGAUGGACCUGCGUUGUAUUAGCUAGUUGGUGGGGUAACGGCUCACCAAGGCGACGAUACAUAGCCGACCUGAGAGGGUGAUCGGCCACACUGGGACUGAGACACGGCCCAGACUCCUACGGGAGGCAGCAGUAGGGAAUCUUCGGCAAUGGACGGAAGUCUGACCGAGCAACGCCGCGUGAGUGAAGAAGGUUUUCGGAUCGUAAAGCUCUGUUGUAAGAGAAGAACGAGUGUGAGAGUGGAUUCUUCACACUG